GAGUGCUCAUUUGAAAAACAAGGAGAACAAAAACCCCAGAGAGGUGCCUGCCAGCUUCCCUUCCCCCUUGAUGAAAUGCAACAAAGGGAGCAGCUAAAUGCGGUCGGGGACACACAACUUUAAAUUAGGUGAUGUGUUCAGAAAGCAUUUUAUAAACUGUAAACUUUGAUCACGCAAGACCUGAUUGCUGUUAUCCUGGCUUCCGUGAAAUGGCACGGACUUCUGCCUCCACUCUGGUGCAUUAAAGGGCCAGGAGACGGAGCGGCCACAGUAACUGGCGCUUUGGACGGAGGUGACAGCAACUAAAGAGUUAAACUUCCCAGAAAGCUAAUUUAUGCAGAGGACUGGACCCUGCCCAGCUAAGGAUCUGAAUUACAAAUGCACAGAAUUUGCUGCUCGGUCAGUUAUUUCUUUUCUUCCUAAUGGAGCCCGUCAUUUGCAGGAGGGCCGGCCACUUCAUUUCCACUGAUGGAGUGAACAAAGUCGCGACCACAGAGGAGCCUAAUUCUACUCACCAUUCCAACUUGCCCUUUAAGGAGGGGCGCUGAGAGGGUGGGUGCCGCCAGCCCCCGGUAUCCACCAUGUGGAAAUCACGUAUUUGUGAGAGAGAAGGAGAGACAGAGCUCCCGUCUGUUGCUUCACUCCUCAAAGGGCUGCAGCACCUGGGGCUGGGCUGGCCUGAAGCUGGGAGCUGGAGCCAGAGUUCAACCCAGGCUCCAGCCUGGCCAUCACCACUGCCUCCCAGGACCUGCAUCGGCAGGAAGCGGGGGUCAGGAGCCAGAGGCGCCCAUCUAACCCAGGCAGUCUGACGUGGCACGCAGGCGUGUCAAUGCCAGGCCAAACACCUGUUCUCUGGCACACAUUUCCCGAAGGCCUUUUUGCCAGAGCUGGGGUCUAAUUUGCCUAAGGAACGGACAGGUCUCUAUCCAGCUCCAUAUUGGGAGAGAACAUGCAGUGUUGAUUUCUACCAGGGGAUGCAGCCGUGUGAGCCAGUGUGCAUGUGUCAGUACUAGUUCCAUGUGCAGUGUGUGUGUGCACAUGUAUUUAUCCAUUCUGACACACAUGUAUGUAUGCACACAUGUGCAUGUAAGAUGUAUCUGAAUCUGCAGGCAGGGGACACUGCCCAUGCAGUCACCCGCCAGCUGCUUGGGGAUCCUGGCUUCUCAGUGCAGCGGGAGCAGCUUCGUGGCCCUACCACCUCCCAGGGCAGCCCCUGCUCACCUACCGGAUACAAAGGCUCAGCACCUUGCCUGGAGGUUGGACCAACUGUGUGUAAUUCAUGUUCCGGCUGAACCUGCUCCUUGCCCAACUCCUCCUCAGCCCCUGUACUGUCCCCUCCCUCUUCCCCGGGAACCCACUGUCAGUGUGUCACACGCAUCUGAAACCUUGUCUCGGUUCAGCACUUCUCUUACGCAUCAUGAGUGGACAUGCAGAGAUACAUGUGUGGACACACGUGUGUGUAUGUGUGUGAGUGUGUGCACACAUUUACAAGGAAAUCCAGAGGGGUUUGCAAGGGGAUUAUUUUCCGAAGAAGACAAAGGAGGAAGCACACUGACUGCACACCAUCUCACACAGAGCUGGAGAGACCUGCUUCAAAAGUUGAACAUUAACAGAUACUUUAGAAGUAGAUACAUCUUUUAUUAAAUCAGAAACAGAAAGGUGCAGUAUACAUGCCUGUCAGUAGUCAAUUGUUCGCUACUUUGAAUUACAUUUUAAUAGACUCACGGUCUUAUUUCUUUCUCUGUAAAGUAUUAAAAAAAACUCAGGUAUUUGAAUAAUCUUCUGUAAAUUUUUAUUAACUGGGGUUAGGGAGAGGUUUUAUCAGAGCACAUCUUGGGAACAUUAGGAAGUUACAGACAGACCUGAGAUAAGUGUCAGACAGAACAGAGAAGCCAGUCCCUCAGCCUUGAGGAGAGGACCAAUCUGUGUUAGGCUAAAGGAGGCAGGAUUAAAGGAGCCCCUGGCGCCCCCUGGUGGUAAACUUGCAACUUCCUUUAUUUGUUGAAGCUGUCACACUGGUCCUUGUCCCUGAGCCUCUUAAGCAAUUGUUUUUCCAAUCGUCUUAAGCCCUCUCCAUUUCUCUCUGUUCAGCAACUUUCAGAGACCCUGUUAGAAAAAAGCCAUUCUUACUCAUUGCUUCUUCAUAGCCACACAUUCCAUUCCCGGAAAUUGGCGACUGCCCGAUGCAGAGCCUGUGUUCGCUGUCCUGGAAACGUGAACUCAGACAAAUGGGUUCUGGCCUCCCCUCCCCAGGCUGAGGGUGCGAGUGUGCGUCCAGCACAGAACUCCAUUCCUUCUCACUGGUGUAUUUCUUCCGUCACUUCACUCGCCUCCACCAUUUAUCAAACUGAACCCAAACGCAUGCCAACCCCCUCCUCAACCCUUCUGACCUGACUAGUCCACCUGCUAAAACACCUCGACUGUUGCUUGCCAGAAAGACUGGACCCGAGACAAAAACCGUGCCCCACAACAUACAAUCACAGCCCGGGCUGUCUCUGUAGGCAGGAUUUCACCGGACGGGCAUCCGAAGGAAAGCUAUGUACAUGGAGUCUGUCUGGGGAGGAGAUGGGGGAUGAGAGAACCCGGAGGGCACUGUGGAGAUUUGAUUACUUGGAUUUGCCGACGGGGCCGAUGGACACAGGGUCUGUUUGCACUUGAGCGUCCGACAUCCGCUUGGGUCCCUGGAGAAAGACAUAAAGACGUGGGAGCCAUUGAUCGGCAGUCAUGGUGUGCUCAGUGGGUGCUAAGCAAACACAUCUCAUUCGCGAACGCGGGAUGAAGGGUGGCCUCCUACCAGAGAUCCUGGUUCAAUGCCCAGGUACAUCACUUUCUAGCUUUGUGAAAUCUCCGACAAGUGACUUAACUCUGUGCUUCGGUUUCUUUAAGAAGGGAACGAAGACUCAUCUCAGGGAGUUGCUCCUAAGAUGCAGUGAGCUCACCUCCCCCACCCGGGGUUUCCACAUCCCCACGGUUCUAGCUCACCUUAGCCAUUGCCUCCCCGGACCACAGUCUGGUCGUAUCGCCCUGUCUUCUUUUCUUAUAAACCCAGCACUCUCUGCAGUGGUCUGACUGUCUGAUCUAACAUCUGUCUCCACGAGCACAAAAGCUCUGUGGUUCGGCACCUGUGCCCUCGGGUGUUCCAGAGCCUGGCACAGGAGAGGCGCCUUGGUAUUGACGGAAUGGGUGAGUGGGCACGAGUGUUGUUAAUUCAACUGUUCUUUUACCUUUGCUGUCAAGUGUAACCUACAAAGACUGACACUAACCCUUUCUGCACGUGGUCUAGGAGCGGAGGCUGACACACACGCGCACGCUAUCACCUCCCAACUCAGGACCUUGUAUGGCCCCUUUGUGGUUAAGACCGCCCCACUCGCAGACCCUGGAACCACCGGUGCCUUCUCUGUCCCUGAGUUUGGUCUUUCCCAGGACGCUGGAUCGUGGGAUCAGGGUGAAGAGCCUCUCAGCCUUCUUUCAGGCAGCACGUGGAUCUGAGAUUCGCCCCCGUUACUACAUACAUCAGAGGUACUAGCGAGGGCCCCAACUUAGAGGACAGGGUCCUGGAGGGUUACAGAGUACAGGACAGGACAGUAGGAUAUACCAUAGUGUCAUGUGUACAGUACAGAGAGCAUACGGACAGUACAGUGUAGCAUAGCAUAGUAUAAGAUAGUGUGUAUUAUGUGGUACAGAUGUAUGUAUAGUAUGAUGAACGUAACGUACUAUAGGACAGUUAUAUAAGUAUAUGUAACUUAUGUGCAGCAUAACUUAUAUAGUGUAGUGCACCCACAUGCGGAGUAUCGUACAGGAAAGGUACUAUAGUAGGGCACAGGAUAUAAAGUACAGUACAGUAUAAUACAUAAGGCAGGCUACUACCAUGUACUGUCAUAAAAUACAUACAAUAUGAUGCUUAGUGUUGCAUUCUAUACUAUACAUUUUAUGGUGUAGUAUGUUGUCUAGUAUGCAUGGUCUUCUAUGCAUAGUAAAUACAGUAGUAACUGCAGCACAGUACGUAUGGAUAGAUACAGGGUGUAUGUGGGGUGUGUAUAAUAGUAUCUAUGGGGCCGGCACUGUGGCACAGUAGGUUAAUCCUUCACCUGUGGAGCCAGCUUCCUAUAUGGGCACUGGUUCUAGUCCCAGCUACUCCACUUCCAAUCCAGCUCUCUGCUAUGGCCUGGGAAAGCAGUAGAAGAUGACCCAAGUGCUUGGGCCAGUGGGAAACCUGGAAGAAGUUCCUGACUCCUGGCUUCGGAUUGGCUCAACUCCGGCAUUUGCAGCCAUUUGGGGAGGGGAUGGAAGUCCUUUCUCUCUGUCUCUCCCUCUCACUGUCUGUAACCUUACCUCUCAAAUAAAUAAAUAAAAAUCUUUUAAAAAUCAG
Molecule: non-coding RNA, 4369 nt
Organism: Oryctolagus cuniculus (rabbit)
Lineage: Eukaryota; Metazoa; Chordata; Mammalia; Lagomorpha; Leporidae
Source: RefSeq, a predicted model, not a curated record